RNAcentral lists this ribosomal RNA (430 nucleotides) under uncultured bacterium. RNAcentral describes it as "bacterial SSU rRNA". It matches the Rfam family "Bacterial small subunit ribosomal RNA", at positions 917 to 1350 of the family's 1533-position model. The record is from RNAcentral.
GGGCCCGCACAAGCGGUGGAGCAUGUGGUUUAAUUCGAUGAUACGCGAGGAACCUUACCAGGACUUAAAUGUAAGUUGCAUGAUUCAGAAAUGAAUCUUUCUUCGGACUACUUACAAGGUGCUGCAUGGUUGUCGUCAGCUCGUGCCGUGAGGUGUCAGGUUAAGUCCUAUAACGAGCGCAACCCCUAUCGUUAGUUGCCAGCAAGUAAAGUUGGGAACUCUAGCGAAACUGCCGGUGCAAACCGUGAGGAAGGUGGGGAUGACGUCAAAUCAUCACGGCCCUUACGUUCUGGGCUACACACGUGCUACAAUGGCCGGUACAGAAAGCAGCCACUUUGCGAAAAGGAGCUAAUCUUCAAAGCCGGUCUCAGUUCGGAUCGCAGUCUGCAACUCGACUGCGUGAAGCUGGAAUCGCUAGUAAUCGGAUAUC